RNAcentral lists this ribosomal RNA (337 nucleotides) under uncultured fungus. RNAcentral describes it as "eukaryotic LSU rRNA". It matches the Rfam family "Eukaryotic large subunit ribosomal RNA", at positions 32 to 361 of the family's 3401-position model. The record is from RNAcentral. Lineage: Eukaryota; Fungi.
ACUUAAGCAUAUCAAUAAGCGGAGGAAAAGAAACUAACAAGGAUUCCCCUAGUAACUGCGAGUGAAGCGGGAAAAGCUCAAAUUUGAAAUCUGGCAGCUUUCCACUGUCCGAGUUGUAAUCUAGAGAAGUGUUACCAGUGCUGGACCGUGUACAAGUCUCCUGGAAUGGGGCAUCAUAGAGGGUGAGAAUCCCGUCUUUGACACGGACUACCUGUACGUUCAUGGUGUGCUCUCAAAGAGUCGAGUUGUUUGGGAAUGCAGCUCAAAAUGGGUGGUAAAUGCCAUCUAAAGCUAAAUAUUGGCGAGAGACCGAUAGCGAACAAGUACCGUGAGGGAA